UGGUAAAUGCUAGCGGCCCACUGUUGACCGAUCCCGUGCCACGCUGUGGUGGGAUUCGAGUGAGAGCGUGCCUGUUGCGACCCGAAAGAUGGUGAACUAUGCCUGAAUAGGGCGAAGCCAGAGGAAACUCUGGUGGAGGCU
This 141-nucleotide ribosomal RNA is filed under the name Bubarida sp. 1 JV-2020. RNAcentral describes it as "partial large subunit ribosomal RNA". It matches the Rfam family "Eukaryotic large subunit ribosomal RNA", at positions 744 to 875 of the family's 3401-position model. The record is from RNAcentral. Lineage: Eukaryota; Metazoa; Porifera; Demospongiae; Bubarida.